CAUUGUAAUCAAAAUAGAGCUUUGAACGGAAUUAUACGUGUGAUAUACGAUUAGAUAUAAAAAUACUAUUAUAUUUUUAGUUACAACAAGGAAAAUGGUUUUAAAUAUAUCGGUCCAAUUUAAAUAUUAAGUACUAUAAUAAAUAGGAUUAAUCAUAAUUGUUAUAGGAAAUUUUUGUUAGAUUAUAUUCUUCUAACCUCUACAACGUGAAAGCUGUUGACUUGGUAAUUAAAACAAAACGUUAUUUUGCUAUAAUUACAGGUUAUGUUUCCAACAACGGGAUUGGUGGAGAGCGCUGAUCAUCCAAUGGCAUCAUCGUUGAGUUUUAUAAACUUCGAUGUAUCGCCGCAUUAUCAUUAUUUUUUAUUUAUCGAGAAAAUAAACAUUUGUUAUUAAU
Long non-coding RNA from Vespula pensylvanica (western yellowjacket), 397 nucleotides. RefSeq lists it as uncharacterized. The transcript is spliced from 2 exons. The record is from RefSeq and is a predicted model, not a curated record. NCBI's taxonomy places the organism in Eukaryota, Metazoa, Arthropoda, Insecta, Hymenoptera, Vespidae.